This 1586-nucleotide long non-coding RNA is filed under the name Helianthus annuus (common sunflower). RNAcentral's name for it is "hypothetical non coding rna". Lineage: Eukaryota; Viridiplantae; Streptophyta; Magnoliopsida; Asterales; Asteraceae. The record is from RNAcentral.
GGGGCCGAUUUUAGAAUGUGCUCUAAGUCUAUUGUGACGAUAUGUCGUCUCUUAAAAGUUAAUGCAUGAGGACAACACCUAUAGAGAUGACCUAAGGGACCUAUAUGCAAUGGGUUCCAUAGACGAAACUAUGGAGACACCAUGUCGUCCCAGGCCAAAAAAAUCUAGUCCCCACAAGUAUGCUUUCUUGUAGUGCAAUAACAGACAUUUUUGUAAAAAAAAUAUAUAUAUAUACCUUCCAGCUCAAGGUGCGGUCGAUCUGACCAGCAACAUAAGAAGCUAAACCAGAAUCAUUAGCCUGCAUUGCAAGAUUAUAACAAAUUAGAAAAGACCGAUAAAACAUAUACGAAAACUCAAGAUUAAUCUUUAAUAUUUGUUGUAUUGACUUACUUCAUCCAUCUUGCCAAGGUCCAAACCCUCAAAGUUCUUCAGUGUCAAAAAUGGUGGUAGAGUAAACCUGUUUUUGAUGUCAGCUUCUCGGCGUCCAAGCCUAGGUGUAUCAACUGUAAGAGCGAUAGCCUUAAAACCAGCUCUUUCGGCUCUUCGCACAAGCUGAGCAACCACGUUCCUGUCCUUGUACACCUGAUAUUAAGGAUCAACAACGUUAACAUGUAUAUUAAGAAAAAAUAAAAGAUGAAAUAGGGGUGAGCACGGUUCAGUUAGGUUUAGUUAUGAAUAAAAAUGAAUCUAUAACCGAUGUUUAGGCCUUUAGAUUUUAAUUGUUGGUCGGUUUUUGAGAAAGAUGGUUAGAUAAAUAAAUUCAAUUAUAUAAAGGACAACUAAUACGCGAUUUUGUAAAAUUUAAAAAAAAAAAAUCGACGUAUAACAUAUUAUUUAUUAAGAAAAAUUAUGUUGGUUUAAAUGUCGAGUCGGUUAAGUUAAUUUGGUUAUUUAUACACCUAUAACCAUAAUUGAAUCAAAAAUCGGUUAUUGAAAAGAUCAUAACCAAACCUGCAUCAUCAAUAUGUUGUUCAACCCUAGAUGAAAUAGUAGUUUUGCUCACAUAAAGCUGGAAGAAACGGAUUCCAGGUCCUGUUGAAGCAACCUCCUCAACACUUGAUGUAGCCCAUGAAGACAAGGUCUAUAAAGUGGACAAAUUAUUAGCAUACAUACUUCUGUGUUGUAAAAUUCAAAGUAGAGUUGCCCAAAUGGUCCUGGGGCGGUCCAAGCCCGGCCUUUAGUCCGGUUGAGCCCAAAAGUUUCAUAAUAUAGUAGUCUUAUUACUUGAUCAAAAUCAGGCUCAAACCCGGUUGUAGAUCGGGUUAGGCCCGAAUGUCCAGUCAAACGGCCAGUACAUAAAAUUGUUUUUUUUUUUUUUUGUCAUGUAACAUACACUUAAUAUUCUGGAUUUAGCAUUAAAUUUUCUAUGAAAACAUGUAUAAUAAAUGUGAUUUUUAAACUAACUAAGCCUAUUUAUGAAAACAUGUAUAAUAAAUGUGAUUCUUAAACUAACUAAGCCUAUUUAAAAAAAAGAUAUUCCUCAUAAGUUAAAUAAUCAAAACAUAAAUUCGAAAUUCUAAAAUAUAGAUGUAUUUAAAAGAAAAAGUUUGGUUGCAACUGAAAAUAUAGUAAUAAUAAUUAAAUAU